RNAcentral lists this ribosomal RNA (253 nucleotides) under uncultured bacterium. Its description in RNAcentral is "partial 16S ribosomal RNA". It matches the Rfam family "Bacterial small subunit ribosomal RNA", at positions 524 to 776 of the family's 1533-position model. The record is from RNAcentral.
GACGUAGGGCGCGAGCGUUGUCCGGAUUUAUUGGGCGUAAAGAGCUCGUAGGCGGCCUGUCGCGUCGUCCGUGAAAACUUGGGGCUCAACCCCAAGCUUGCGGUCGAUACGGGCAGGCUAGAGUUCGGUAGGGGAGACUGGAAUUCCUGGUGUAGCGGUGAAAUGCGCAGAUAUCAGGAGGAACACCGGUGGCGAAGGCGGGUCUCUGGGCCGAUACUGACGCUGAGGAGCGAAAGCGUGGGGAGCGAACAGG